This 465-nucleotide ribosomal RNA is filed under the name uncultured Candida. RNAcentral describes it as "SSU rRNA". It matches the Rfam family "Eukaryotic small subunit ribosomal RNA", at positions 545 to 1026 of the family's 1831-position model. Lineage: Eukaryota; Fungi; Ascomycota; Saccharomycetes; Saccharomycetales. The record is from RNAcentral.
UCAUUGGAGGGGCAAGUCUGGUGCCAGCAGCCGCGGUAAUUCCAGCUCCAAAAGCGUAUAUUAAAGUUGUUGCAGUUAAAAAGCUCGUAGUUGAACCUUGGGCUUGGCUGGCCGGUCCAUCUUUUUGAUGCGUACUGGACCCAGCCGAGCCUUUCCUUCUGGGUAGCCAUUUAUGGCGAACCAGGACUUUUACUUUGAAAAAAUUAGAGUGUUCAAAGCAGGCCUUUGCUCGAAUAUAUUAGCAUGGAAUAAUAGAAUAGGACGUUAUGGUUCUAUUUUGUUGGUUUCUAGGACCAUCGUAAUGAUUAAUAGGGACGGUCGGGGGUAUCAGUAUUCAGUUGUCAGAGGUGAAAUUCUUGGAUUUACUGAAGACUAACUACUGCGAAAGCAUUUACCAAGGACGUUUUCAUUAAUCAAGAACGAAAGUUAGGGGAUCGAAGAUGAUCAGAUACCGUCGAGUAUUUU